This is a long non-coding RNA of Chelonia mydas (Green sea turtle), 917 nucleotides long. RefSeq lists it as uncharacterized. The record is from RefSeq and is a predicted model, not a curated record. The transcript is spliced from 3 exons. Lineage: Eukaryota; Metazoa; Chordata; Testudines; Cheloniidae.
AGUCAGUGCCAGUUUGAGAAAGAGGAAGGAAAGACAAUCAAGUUGGCCACGCACUCAGUGCAUCCAUCCUCUUUAGUUGCAAAAGAUAUGUUAACUAAAGCUGUGAGACAACAUUGUGCCAACAGCAAAAUGAGCCAAACGGACCUUUCACAGUCCAGGUUGCGCCCGGGGACCUCAUCUCACAUUUUAAUAUAAGAUUUGAGUGGGCGUAUUGUGAGUCUCUGUGACUGUCUGAAUCACCAUACAGGAGAGAGGCACAAAGCAUCAAGAGCUGCUUUUCUACAGAAAUUGUUAUACCCCUCCCAAAAGAGCAUCAAUGCCAGAGAGGCGAUGGGUGGAUCUUACAACUGAAAACUCCCUGCAUCUGGAUUGAGAAACCAUCAACAAAAGGACUAAAACCCUUGUUGUUCUGCUGUCCUCCCCGGGAAGAUAAACCAUGCAAGUGGAUUCCCAUUCAUCAGCUGAGUUUGCAGAGCAUGUGGCAGGAGGGGAAUAAAACCCGCAAACAGAAGGACCUAGGUUACAUCUUCAUGGCCAAGAUCACAAUAUCCCAGGAGGCAGGUUCUACUGUGUUCAGGACACUGCCCAAUACAGGAAACAACAGAGACUAUGACGGAACAAAAGCGCCUCUCAAAAGACAUCAAACCUAAUAAAUAUGAACUUUGACCAUUAUAUUGUCUGUGGAAGAUAUUUCAGCAAGAAUGAAAAAAUGUGGAAUACGAUUAUACUGAAUUAGAAUGUCUAGCAGCUUUCUGUGAAUUUGUGGAUGUCCAUUUGAGGCAAUAGAAAUAGCUGCCUGCCAGACAAACUUAGAAAAUGGAGUAUAUGAAAAUCCCUUAAUCCCACUUGUUAUAUUCUUAUAUAUAGCUGAUAUAAGCAAGUAUAGCAGGUAUACAGGCUCAACAAAAUGGAGUUAA